This 121-nucleotide ribosomal RNA is filed under the name Salvator merianae (Argentine black and white tegu). The record is from RNAcentral. Lineage: Eukaryota; Metazoa; Chordata; Lepidosauria; Squamata; Teiidae.
GAAUACAGUGCAUUGGCAAGUGCUGUAUUUUACUUUUAGUAUUAUCUCAGAAGCUAAGCAGCGUCGGGCCUNGUUAGUACUUGGAUGAAAGACCGCCUGGGAAUACUGGGUGCUGUAGGCU